This 429-nucleotide ribosomal RNA is filed under the name Acidobacteriota bacterium. RNAcentral describes it as "Acidobacteria bacterium partial 16S ribosomal RNA". It matches the Rfam family "Bacterial small subunit ribosomal RNA", at positions 355 to 776 of the family's 1533-position model. Lineage: Bacteria; Pseudomonadati; Acidobacteriota. The record is from RNAcentral.
UGGGGAAUUUUGGACAAUGGGGGAAACCCUGAUCCAGCCAUCCCGCGUGUGCGAUGAAGGCCUUCGGGUUGUAAAGCACUUUUGGCAGGAAAGAAACGUCAUGGGUUAAUACCCCGUGCAACUGACGGUACCUGCAGAAUAAGCACCGGCUAACUACGUGCCAGCAGCCGCGGUAAUACGUAGGGUGCAAGCGUUAAUCGGAAUUACUGGGCGUAAAGCGUGCGCAGGCGGUUCGGAAAGAAAGAUGUGAAAUCCCAGAGCUCAACUUUGGAACUGCAUUUUUAAUUACCGGGCUAGAGUGUGUCAGAGGGAGGUGGAAUUCCGCGUGUAGCAGUGAAAUGCGUAGAUAUGCGGAGGAACACCGAUGGCGAAGGCAGACUCCUGGGAUAACACUGACGCUCAUGCACGAAAGCGUGGGGAGCAAACAGG